RNAcentral lists this ribosomal RNA (131 nucleotides) under Stenotrophomonas maltophilia. RNAcentral's name for it is "partial 16S ribosomal RNA". It matches the Rfam family "Bacterial small subunit ribosomal RNA", at positions 1 to 124 of the family's 1533-position model. The record is from RNAcentral. Lineage: Bacteria; Pseudomonadati; Pseudomonadota; Gammaproteobacteria; Lysobacterales; Lysobacteraceae.
UAAGUGAAGAGUUUGAUCCUGGCUCAGAGUGAACGCUGGCGGUAGGCCUAACACAUGCAAGUCGAACGGCAGCACAGGAGAGCUUGCUCUCUGGGUGGCGAGUGGCGGACGGGUGAGGAAUACAUCGGAAU